Molecule: ribosomal RNA, 477 nt
Filed under: uncultured bacterium
Lineage: Bacteria
Description: partial 16S ribosomal RNA
Rfam family: Bacterial small subunit ribosomal RNA
Source: RNAcentral
ACUCAAAGGAAUAGACGGGGGCCCGCACAAGCAGCGGAGCGUGUGGUUUAAUUCGAUGCAACGCGAAGAACCUUACCCAGACUUGACAUGGCCCUGCAAACCCUAGAAAUAGGGUCCUCGCAAGACAGGGUCACAGAUGUUGCAUGGCUGUCGUCAGCUCGUGUCGUGAGAUGUUGGGUUAAGUCCCGCAACGAGCGCAACCCUCGUGUGAUGUUGCAAAUCAUCGCAGACUGCCGGUACAAGCCGGAGGAAGGUGGGGAUGACGUCAAGUCCGCAUGGCUCUUACGUCUGGGGCUACACACACGCUACAAUGGUCGGGACAGAGGGCAGCCACGGGGCGACCCGGAGCGAAUCCCAAAACCCGGUCUCAGUUCGGAUGGUAGGCUGCAACUCGCCUGCCUGAAGUCGGAGUUGCUAGUAACCGCGUGUCAGCAUAGCGCGGUGAAUAUGUUCCCGGGCCUUGUACACACCGCCCGU